This 484-nucleotide ribosomal RNA is filed under the name uncultured bacterium. RNAcentral's name for it is "partial 16S ribosomal RNA". It matches the Rfam family "Bacterial small subunit ribosomal RNA", at positions 30 to 507 of the family's 1533-position model. The record is from RNAcentral.
AUUGAACGCUGGCGGCAGGCCUAACACAUGCAAGUCGAGCGGAUGAAGGGAGCUUGCUCCUGGAUUCAGCGUCGGACGGGUGAGUAAUGCCUAGGAAUCUGCCUGGUUUUGGGGGAUAACGUCCUCAAACGGGCGCUACUACCGCAUACGUCCUGAGCGAGAUAGUUGGGGAUCUUCGGACCUCACGCUCUCAGAUGAGCCUAGGUCGGAUUAGCUAGUUGGUGGGGUAAAGGCCUACCAAGGCGACGAUCCGUAACUGGUCUGAGAGGAUGAUCAGUCACACUGGAACUGAGACACGGUCAAGACUACUACGAGAGGCAGCAGUGGGGAAUAGUAGACAAUGGGCGAGAGUAUGAUCCAGCCAGGGCGCGUGUGUGAAGAAGGUGUUCGGAUUGGAAAGAAGGUUAAGGGGGGAGGAAGGGCAGUAAGUUAAGACCUAGCUGGAGUGACGGUAACAACAGAAGAAGCACCGGCUAACUACGUG